CUUGUUUGUAUCGGGUAUGUGGGCAUUUGUCUCUGUGUGGAUGUAUUGUAUACAUGUGUGCACACACACACACACACACACACACACACACACACACACAC
This 101-nucleotide microRNA precursor is filed under the name Tursiops truncatus (common bottlenose dolphin). RNAcentral describes it as "miRNA (ENSTTRG00000021805.1)". The record is from RNAcentral. Lineage: Eukaryota; Metazoa; Chordata; Mammalia; Artiodactyla; Delphinidae.